UUGUCGAGACCAAAAUUAUAUCGAGCGAUUCGGAGAACCUGUGAAAUAAGCGGCGGCCGCAGUCGUCGCGAAACAGCCGUCCCUGCCGUCGGCCCCCCUGUCUGGAGGGGGCCGCGAUGGGGGACGGCUGAAACCCCAAACCGGCGCAGACUGGCGCCAAGGUAACUAUCGAAAGGCACGAGCCCGACAUCGGGUCCUCGUGGGGCGGAGCGGUGUUGCGCACCGCACGUAUUGACACGACUCUCGACAAUGGAUAUCUCGGCUCUCGCAUCGAUGAAGAGCGCAGCGAAAUGCGAUACGUGGUGCGAAUUGCAGAAUCCCGCGAACCAUCGAGUCUUUGAACGCAAGUUGCGCCCGAGGCCAAUCGGUCGAGGGCACGUCCGCCUGGGCGUCAGACGUUGCGUCGCUCCGUGCCAAGUCCCCGCCGCCCCACCGUAGCGGGGGUGCCGGGCGAGGCUCGGAUGUGCAGAGCGGCCCGUCGUGCCCAUCGGUGCGGCGGGCUGAAGAGCGGGUUGUCAUCUCAUUGGCCACGAACAACGAGGGGUGGAUGAAAGCUGCCGCGGGCAAGGCCCGCGUUGUCUCGUGCCGGCCCGAGAGAAGAUUGCGCCCUUCGUGCGAUCCCAUCCCAUGCGCCGCCCGCGCGCGGCGGCUUGGAACGCGACCCCAGGAUGGGCGAGACCACCCGCCGAGUUUAAGCAUAUCAAUAAGCGGAGGAGAAGAAACUUACGAGGAUUCCCCUAGUAACGGCGAGCGAACCGGGACAUGCCCAGCAUGGGAAUCGGGCC
RNAcentral lists this ribosomal RNA (785 nucleotides) under Vanda tricolor. RNAcentral describes it as "eukaryotic LSU rRNA". The stretch from base 239 to 394 matches the Rfam family "5.8S ribosomal RNA". Lineage: Eukaryota; Viridiplantae; Streptophyta; Magnoliopsida; Asparagales; Orchidaceae. The record is from RNAcentral.